RNAcentral lists this unclassified non-coding RNA (337 nucleotides) under soil metagenome. RNAcentral's name for it is "partial contains 5.8S ribosomal RNA, internal transcribed spacer 2, and large subunit ribosomal RNA". The stretch from base 1 to 120 matches the Rfam family "5.8S ribosomal RNA", at positions 35 to 154 of the family's 154-position model. The record is from RNAcentral.
GAUGAAGAACGUAGCGAAAUGCGAUAAGUAGUGUGAAUUGCAGAAUUCAGUGAAUCAUCGAAUCUUUGAACGCACAUUGCGCCCCUUGGUAUUCCAUGGGGCAUGCCUGUUCGAGCGUCAUUUGUACCUUCAAGCUCUGCUUGGUGUUGGGUGUUUGUCUCGCCUCUGCGUGUAGACUCGCCUUAAAACAAUUGGCAGCCAGCGUAUUGAUUUCGGAGCGCAGUACAUCUCGCGCUUUGCACUCAUAACGACGACGUCCAAAAGUACAUUUUUACACUCUUGACCUCGGAUCAGGUAGGGAUACCCGCUGAACUUAAGCAUAUCAAUAAGCGGAGGA